AAAGAUUUAUCAAUGAACUGAGUGACCAUUUGAAUGAGCAAUCAUUCAGCACAGUCAAUUCACUCUCGAAAGAGAGUAUCAGUAUUCAUUGAGCCGAAGCGAAAGCUUCAAAAACUUUUAAUUGAAGAGUU
Molecule: ribosomal RNA, 131 nt
Filed under: Vibrio cholerae HC-56A1
Lineage: Bacteria; Pseudomonadati; Pseudomonadota; Gammaproteobacteria; Vibrionales; Vibrionaceae
Description: partial 16S ribosomal RNA
Source: RNAcentral